AAAUUGGAGAGUUUGAUCCUGGCUCAGAACGAACGCUGGCGGCGUGCCUAACACAUGCAAGUCGUACGAGAAAUCCUGGGCAACCGGGAGAGUAAAGUGGCGCACGGGUGAGUAACGCGUGGGUAACCUGCCCUUGAGUUGGGGAUAACCCCGCGAAAGCGGGGCUAAUACCGAAUAAUAUGUCAGUUCCUAUGGGGAUUGAAAUCGAAGGUAGCCUCUGCAUGCAAGCUAUUGCUCAAGGAUGGGCCCGCGUACCAUUAGCUUGUUGGUAGGGUAACGGCCUACCAAGGC
This 291-nucleotide ribosomal RNA is filed under the name Deltaproteobacteria bacterium. RNAcentral describes it as "partial 16S ribosomal RNA". It matches the Rfam family "Bacterial small subunit ribosomal RNA", at positions 1 to 274 of the family's 1533-position model. Lineage: Bacteria; Pseudomonadati; Myxococcota; Myxococcia. The record is from RNAcentral.